This 38-nucleotide transfer RNA is filed under the name Escherichia coli. Its description in RNAcentral is "partial tRNA-Arg". The record is from RNAcentral. Lineage: Bacteria; Pseudomonadati; Pseudomonadota; Gammaproteobacteria; Enterobacterales; Enterobacteriaceae.
CCGCCAUUUGCAUCCGUAGCUCAGCUGGAUAGAGUACU